Non-coding RNA from Pantherophis guttatus, 2515 nucleotides. The record is from RefSeq and is a predicted model, not a curated record. Lineage: Eukaryota; Metazoa; Chordata; Lepidosauria; Squamata; Colubridae.
AAAUAGGCUGAAAAACAGCUUCUAUCCCAGGGCAGUAACUAUAUUGAAUUCUACUGCAUAGUGCAAUAUUAAUGCAAUAUUGGUUUCAAUUCAAUUGUAUAGAAUGUGAAGAAGGUGUGUUUGUGUUUUAUUUUUUUAUUAUAAUGUACACUGAAGACGGCAUUUAAUUUCAUUGUACGAGGUGCAAUGACAAUAAAGUAAAGUAAAUAUUUCUGCUAUACAAAAGGUUCAAUAUGCUCCUUCCAUCUUUGGUCUUCUUUGGAUCAGUUACUCCUAGGGAUAACCCCAUGCCAAUAAACCAAAAUCAAAAGGCUUAAAAUCGCACCAAAACUUUAUUUAUAGUCCAAGACCAAAUACAAGGCUUAAAAACAAUCCUUGAGAACACAACAAUAAUGAGUAAUGUUGAUUUGGGACAAACGAUAUCCAUUCCAUUUUUGCUUUGCUUUUCCAUUUUCCAGGUUCUCACCAUCCACACACAGCCACAGGCUGUGAGGACAAGCCUCCUCAGGACUAUGCUGGGCUUCAGAAGAUUAAUGCCACCCCUGCAACUUUGACUCCAGAAGCCAUCCAUAAAAAGAUAACUUGCCCAACAACCACCCCCAGUUCAACAGCCACAAUAAAUGCCAAUGAAACUUACAAUGCCACAGAAAAUGCACCAGAGGCCACUAAUUUACCCUUCUACACCUCACCUAAUAGCACUGACAGCAAUGUGCCAUCAAAUCCCACCUGUUUGCAAGGCUGGGCCAUUUUUCUUAUCUUCUUAUCUGCCCUAUUGGCAAUGGUCCUCCUAGCUGGUCUCCCAGUUAUGCUCUGGUACUUCUUUCAUCGCCGACACUUACAGGCUCAGCAACCGUGUGCCCGAUAUAACCACAAAGUCUAUGUGGCUCCAGAGGAACAAAGCUUACCGGUAGAAUGAAGAAGAUCCAACCCCAAGAUCUCCAGUGCGCCAACUAUUUUAUGACACAAACUAGACAUUUGUUUUCAAUUCAUUGUUUUCAAGGCAACAACAACAAGACAUGGAAGCUCAGGAAAGUAGACCUGUUUUUGCAGAAAGCUGAUGUGGAGAUGUCUUCAAGCCAUUGGCACUUUGACUGUUGAUGGAACCCAUCAAGUACCAAUCCCCGCCUAUCUUCUGCUCCCUGUAUGUGAACAUAGAGGAAAAAUCCAUCCUAGUGUACCUACACAGGAACUUUAUCUUUAUUUAAGAUCAAAAAUAUUCCCCUUAUUUUUCUUCUUGAUGAUGGAAUCAGGAGAUCAUGGCCGCCUUGCUGGGAAAUGAGGCUGGGGGCUGGGUGGAGAAGAAGAAACCUUAAAUUUUGGGAGAUCAAAAGAUAAACAAUAUUGGGCAGAUGGAGAAGGAAGCACGUACAGCAUUUCUGCCCCCAAAUGCAGUUAUGUAAAGGGUAGGAAUUUAGGAUUAAAAGGCAUUAUUAUUUCAUACUCUAGGGGAGAAUAACGGGAAUGGGUAAUCCUGUUCUUUUUGCACCUUGGAAUUGGUGUUAAUCAGAGGUGGUACUCAGCAGGUUCUGACCAGUUCUGGAGAACCGGUAGCAGAAAUUUUGAGUAGUUUGGAGAACCGGUAAAUACCACCUCUGACUGGCCCCGCCCCCAUCUAUUCUCUGCCUCCCGAGUCCCAGCUGAUCAGGAGGAAAUGGGGAUUUUGCAGUAUCCUUCCUCUGCUACAUCCACCAAGCCACGCCCACAGAACCAGUAAAAAAAAAUUAUCCCACCACUAACCACCCAAAACAUGUGGUGUUUUACAAAGCAAAUGGAGCAUCAACAAUAUAUUUUGAUCCUAAUAAAUCAAUGUAAGAAUUGUUUCCUCGAUUAGAGGGAUUUCACAUCAUUCCAUCUAAAGCAAAGGCCAGCAGAUUAAACCCAACACCAAAGCAAUUCUAUACCAAGGUUUUAAAUUCAAAGAUUUUCCUCUUCCAGGAAAUCUGGUAGGAUGGGGUAUAGAAUGGGACAAUAAAAAGGUUUUUUUUUUAAAUUGAGCUUAACCCACCAAAAGACAAAUAAACAACACAGAAAGUUAUAAAGAAAGAAAGAAAAACAAAAGGGAACUCUCUAUUGGUUGGAUGGGCAGUAUUGUUGGGUAGGGCAGAUCCUGUAAUUUGUCAAUUUAUUUAUUUAUUUAUUUUAUUGGAUUUCUAUACCGCUCUACUCCCAAAGGACCUUCAGGGUGGUGAACAGCCACAGAAUAAAACACAUAGAUACAAAAUUUAAAAUACAAUAAAAAUGAAUUAAAUAAUUUGGCUGAGACAAAAUUAAAAUACCCAAUAAUUUAAAAAUAAAUUAAAAUUUACAUUUAAAAGGGGAGAAGGUUUAGGCCAGGCCAGCUUGAUGAAAUAAGAAAGUCUUGAGCGCGCGACGGAAUGAUUCAUACACUUGGGUGGCAUGUCCAUGAUUCCAUUAAAGUGUGCCUUGUUGUUGUUUUUCUCAACCCCUCUAAAAUGUGCCUUCAAACUUGCAAGAUUCUGUUCCUAUAACUUUACAAUAAAAGUAAUAUUGAUCU